GACGAACGCUGGCGGCGUGCUUAACACAUGCAAGUCGAACGGAAAGGCCCAGCUUUUGUUGGGUGCUCGAGUGGCGAACGGGUGAGUAACACGUGAGUAACCUGCCCUUGACUUUGGGAUAACUCCGGGAAACUGGGGCUAAUACCGGAUAGGAGCUCCUGCUGCAUGGUGGGGGGGGGAAAGUUUCGGCGGUUGGGGAUGGACUCGCGGCUUCUCAGCUUGUGGGGGGGGUUGUGGCUUACCAAGGCUUUGACGGGUAGCCGGCGUGAGGGGGUGACCGGCCACAUUGGGACUGAGAUGCCGCCGAGACUCCUACGGGGGGCAGCAGUGGGGAAUUGUGCACUAUGGGCGGAAGCCUGAUGCAGCAGCGCCGCGUGCGGGAUGAGGGCCUUCGUGUUGUAAACCGCUUUCGCCUGUGACGAAGUGUGAGUGACGGUAAUGGGUAAAGAAGCACCGGCUAACUACGUG
Molecule: ribosomal RNA, 468 nt
Filed under: uncultured bacterium
Lineage: Bacteria
Description: partial 16S ribosomal RNA
Rfam family: Bacterial small subunit ribosomal RNA
Source: RNAcentral